RNAcentral lists this ribosomal RNA (510 nucleotides) under uncultured bacterium. RNAcentral's name for it is "partial 16S ribosomal RNA". It matches the Rfam family "Bacterial small subunit ribosomal RNA", at positions 28 to 507 of the family's 1533-position model. The record is from RNAcentral.
GACGAACGCUGGCGGCGUGCUUAACACAUGCAAGUCGAACGAAGAGCGACGGAAGCUUGCUUCUAUCAAUCUUAGUGGCGAACGGGUGAGUAACGCGUAAUCAACCUGCCCUUCAGAGGGGGACAACAGUUGGAAACGACUGCUAAUACCGCAUACGAUCUAAUCUCGGCAUCGAGGAUGGAUGAAAGGUGGCCUCUACAUGUAAGCUAUCACUGAAGGAGGGGAUUGCGUCUGAUUAGCUAGUUGGAGGGGUAACGGCCCACCAAGGCGAUGAUCAGUAGCCGGUCUGAGAGGAUGAACGGCCACAUUGGGACUGAGACACGGCCCAGACUCCUACGGGAGGCAGCAGGGGGGAAUCUUCCGCAAUGGACGAAAGUCUGACGGAGCAACGCCGCGUGAGUGAUGACGGCCUUCGGGUUGUAAAGCUCUGUUAAUCGGGACGAAAGGCCUUCUUGCGAAUAGUGAGAAGGAUUGACGGUACCGGAAUAGAAAGCCACGGCUAACUACGUG